Molecule: small nuclear RNA, 360 nt
Filed under: Nannospalax galili (Upper Galilee mountains blind mole rat)
Lineage: Eukaryota; Metazoa; Chordata; Mammalia; Rodentia; Spalacidae
Description: 7SK RNA (ENSNGAG00000003125.1)
Rfam family: 7SK RNA (bases 1-309)
About the family: 7SK was discovered as an abundant small nuclear RNA in the mid-70s but a possible function has only recently been suggested.
Source: RNAcentral
GGAUGUGAGGGCAAUCCGGCUGGCUAUGAUAAAUGCUACCCUACUGAUAUCUGGGAAUGCUGGCUGGUCAGGCUGACAAGACAGGUGCCUACUUCACAAUUCCAUGUACAUCCCUUCUGAGCUAAGCAUUUGGUUGAAUAGGAUGACCUUCUUCUGUAAGUAGGACUGUUUCUUAGCCAAGGGUAUAUGAGUAGUUGUACUCUUUUGCUACUGCCAAAUUCCUAAAACCCACUCUGAAAUUUACUUGCCAUGGUGAUGGUACUGGGAAGUGGCAAUUAUGAGACAGAACCUCCAUGGAUGCUAUUACUGGGAAAGUGGGUUCAUUAGGAAAAACGGUGGGCUCAGUGCAUACACACACUU